GACGAACGCUGGCGGCGUGCUUAACACAUGCAAGUCGAACGGAAAGGCCCUGCUUUUGUGGGGUGCCCGAGUGGCGAACGGGAGAGUAACAUGUGAGUCACCUGCCCUUGACUUUGGGAUCACUUCAGGAAACCGGGGCUAAUACCGGAUAGGCGCUCCUGCUGCAUGGUGGGGGUUGGAAAGUUUCGGCGGCUGGGGAUGGACUCGCGGCUUAUCAGCUUGUUGGUGGGGUAGUGGCUUACCAAGGCUUUGACGGGUAGCCGGCCUGUGAGGGUGAGCGGGCACAUUGGGACUGAGAGACGGCCCAGACACCUACGGGAGGGAGCGGUGGGGAAUAUUGCACAAUGGGGGGGAGCCUGUGGCAGCAACGCCGCGUGCGGGAUGACGGCCUUCGGGGUGUGAACCGCGUUCGCCUGUGACGAAGCGUGAGUGACGGUAAUGGGUAAAGAAGCACCGGCUAACUACGUG
RNAcentral lists this ribosomal RNA (468 nucleotides) under uncultured bacterium. RNAcentral's name for it is "partial 16S ribosomal RNA". It matches the Rfam family "Bacterial small subunit ribosomal RNA", at positions 28 to 507 of the family's 1533-position model. The record is from RNAcentral.